RNA transcript from Salvia splendens (bonfire salvia), 2640 nucleotides. It is a transcript of the gene named chloroplast envelope membrane protein, with no coding region annotated. The transcript has 8 exons. The record is from RefSeq and is a predicted model, not a curated record. Lineage: Eukaryota; Viridiplantae; Streptophyta; Magnoliopsida; Lamiales; Lamiaceae.
UAUCCUCUAUUCAGCUGAGGCUCUUAUCCUAUUUACGUAUAUUCAUAUGAAUUCUGCUAAUAUAGAAAACAACAAUGAAAAAUGUAAGGCUCAAAUUCCUGUUUAGUGCCUAAACUUUCCUUCAAAUCACAACAAUCAGCAUAAUCUCUAGUCUUGGUUUUGAAGGGUAAAGAAAAAAAAAUCAAACCAAAACCGUUAUCCGUCUCCCGCUUGGCUAUCACUAUCCCUCUGGAUAAACCCACAAAACAUUUCUUGUUUUCUUUUUUCAUUUUUCUAGCAUUACAGUUGUGGAUCAGGUUUCUACAAUUUUUCUCAUUCUUGGUCUAGUUUCUUUGGCCAUUAUCACUGCCAUUUAAUCUUUGAAAUUUGGGUUGCAAUUACAAAUAUGAUUUCUAGGCUUGUGGGGUUUGCGUGAUUGACUGAUUUAAUGUCUAACUUUGCGUGCUUAGUGAGCUUGUUCCAGCAAGAUUGUGUCUUUACUGCUUCAUGAGGCUUAAAAUGUGGAAGGCGUUUCAUGUUCUUGAUGAGCACUUCACUUGUCUUAUGUCAAAAUCUAGUCUUGUCUAAUUAUAGUUGUGUCUCGGAUAAUUCUUUCCCCUGUGGCAAUGCUUCGAUUUCUGGGGUGCAAUUGAGUUGUGGGAGGAGAAAACAUAGUGGGCUGGUGCCGAAUGCAAAGAAAAAGCAUUCAAAGAAGAGGAGUUGGUGGCAGAGGUUCUUCUUUGAUGAGGAUGGGAAUUGGCUUGGUUUGAAGGAUGAUGCUGCAUUCGAAGUGCUAGAGGAGGAGGAGGAGGAGGUGAGUGAUAUGGGGUUAUCCGCGAAUGAGAAGUUUGAGGCGUGGAGAAGGCGAGCAGAGGCUAUUGUGGAAUUGAGGGAAGCACAGGAGGAUGUGAAGAAUGAGGAGAAUCGGAGGUGGGAGGACUGGAUUGUUGAUGGGACGUAUGAUGGUGAUGAUGUUAGUAAUGGUGGUUCAUGGGUUCAAGACUCUAAUGGGGCGGUUGGGAAACCGGGAGAUGAUGUUGAGGAUGAUUUUAGGGAGGUGUUUUCUGGUAGAGGGUUGGCUAAGUCUGUGAGGGAUUUAGUUUUAGGCAGAGAGGAUGAUGAUAUUCUGUAUGAAGAUCGAGUUUUCCGCUAUGCCUCAUUCAAUUCGGCUAAAUUUUUGGCAGUCCUGGUCAUUGUUCCAUGGGCUGUGGAUUUCUUGGUUCAUGACUACGUUCUUAUGCCUUUUCUGGACAGAUAUGUAGAAAAAGUACCACUCGCGGCACAAUUGCUUGAUGUUAGGAGGAAUCAAAAGCUUGAAAUGGUCAAGUCUCUAAAACUUGAGAAAGCACGAUAUCGGCUUGAAGUAGAGAUUGGUAAAUCUCCCCCUCUUUCUGAUAAGGACCUUUACUUGGAGUUACGACAAAAAGCGUUAGAGCUGCGAGAUGAAUGGAGAUUGGAGAACCGUAAAGCAUUUGCUAACAUUUGGUCAGAUAUGUUGUUUGGGAUCUCAGUAUUCCUUCUUCUCUACUUCAAUCAGAAUCAAGUAGCCUUGCUGAAAUUUACUGGUUAUAAGUUACUGAAUAAUAUAUCAGACACCGGAAAGGCGUUUCUUAUUAUACUUAUCACUGAUAUUUUUUUGGGAUAUCACUCUGAAUCGGGCUGGCAAACACUGUUGGAGGUCAUGGUAGAGCAUUUUGGACUUGAGAUCGAUUCGAAUUCCAUAACAAUCUUCGUAUGCCUGAUCCCAGUCAUCCUUGAUGCUUGUGUGAAGCUGUGGAUGUUCAAGUUUCUGCCUAGAUUAUCCCCAAAGGUGGCCAAUAUUUUCCAGGAGAUGAAGAGACAUUAGGAGGAUUUCGCUACAUACACACUGGUUCUCUCUCGGCUUGGGCUCUCGUAUUCUUUUCAUAUACGAACAUUUUUUCAUUCGUGUGGCUUGCUUCCUUAGUUUGCUACACAUUCUGUUGUACUAGGCUAGAACAUUUAUGUCCAUAAUUAAACACUCAUAACACUAGGAAAGAUUCCUAGACUAGUUGAAACAAUAAUUACGCAGCGCUGCGUAAAAAUCGGUCACUUUACUUAUCCCCGUCCCCUCGUCUCUCAUUGAUGUCAAUAUUUACUUCAACGAACUCUCGUACUAGCUCUAGCUAGCUGGAGACAGGUGACCACUAGCUGUAACGAGUUCUGGAGCCUCGAGGAUUUUCCAGAUGUCCGUUUCUGGCUUGUCGUGUGUCAGGGUUUAUUGAUCCUGUUGUGCUACCUGCCAUGAGUUGUAGGACCUUGUAGCAUUGAAGGUGGUGAUGCCAGUGGAAACACAUGCUCUGUUGGUUUGAAGUCCAGAAUGCACAUUUAUUGCAUCUUAUUUGGAUCAAGUUUUCGUGAAGAACGAAUGGAGUUUGACUGCGGCCAACGCCUCCUCGACUCCCUCCACCGGAGCCUCCUCGGCCCGGCCUUAAAAUUAUGAUUCGAACUAUCUUUUGCAUAAAUUUGGAGCUAUGAUUCAGAGACAUGUUCGGUAUCGAAACUCAAAAUUGAUUGAUGGUUUUGAAGCUCGUUGUUUGAGUUAUCUAAUUGUGUUAUCGAUUUAACUACUGGACAUCCAACAACUGAGUAAUUUACUGGAUCCUGGAGUUUCCAGAUGGUCUUACCGCUUCUGUUUUCUGA